GUGCAGCAGUCGCGAAUUUUCUCAAUGGGCGAAAGCCUGAAGGAGCGACGCCGCGUGGGGGAUGAAGGGUUUCGAUCCGUAAACCCCUGUCAUUUGCGAACAAACCUUAGCAUUUAAAAGAUGUUGAGCUGAUUGUAGUGAAAGAGGAAGGGACGGCUAACUCUGUGCCAGCAGCCGCGGUAAUACAGAGGUCCCAAGCGUUGUUCGGAUUCACUGGGCGUAAAGGGUGCGUAGGUGGCUUGGUAAGUUUGAUGUGAAAUCUCCGGGCUUAACCCGGAAAUGGCAUUGAAUACUAUUGAGCUGGAGGUUUGGAGGGGGGACUGGAAUUCUCGGUGUAGCAGUGAAAUGCGUAGAUAUCGAGAGGAACACCAGUGGCGAAGGCGAGUCCCUGGACAACACCUGACACUGAGGC
Molecule: ribosomal RNA, 412 nt
Filed under: uncultured organism
Description: bacterial SSU rRNA
Rfam family: Bacterial small subunit ribosomal RNA
Source: RNAcentral